CCAAGACAGGAGGGAGCCGAUGGUGGGGAGGGGAGAGGAAUGAUUCCGAAGAUUCCAGGGAAUCGCUUGAUCAGACCUGUGUCUGUUGUGGAUCCCCAGCAGGAGCUGGCCUGGAGAUGCCGGAGCCAGCCUUGCUCUCCGAGGCUUCCUCUGCGUAAGGGGAACAAUGCCAACAUUGAAGGCCUCGGUUGGAGUCUGCACAGUUGGAGAUCUUUGGUGCCACUUUAGACAUCUUUGGAUUUCAUCAAUCAAAUUGACUGCAAUUUUCCAUAAAAACCCUGAAUUUGGGUCAGAAAGUGGGCAAAGUAGAUAAAGAUCAUUCGAGCUGUCUUAUAAGAUGAUAAAUAGAUAUCCUUUCAGGCCAACAA
Long non-coding RNA from Equus caballus (horse), 368 nucleotides. RefSeq lists it as uncharacterized. NCBI's taxonomy places the organism in Eukaryota, Metazoa, Chordata, Mammalia, Perissodactyla, Equidae. The record is from RefSeq and is a predicted model, not a curated record.